RNAcentral lists this ribosomal RNA (206 nucleotides) under uncultured bacterium. Its description in RNAcentral is "partial 16S ribosomal RNA". It matches the Rfam family "Bacterial small subunit ribosomal RNA", at positions 568 to 774 of the family's 1533-position model. The record is from RNAcentral.
UUCGUAGGUGGCCUACUAAGUCAGACGUGAAAUCCCUCAGCUUAACUGGGGAACUGCGUCUGAUACUGGGGGGCUUGAGUGCAGGAGAGGAACGCGGAAUUCCAGGUGUAGCGGUGAAAUGCGUAGAUAUCUGGAGGAACACCGGUGGCGAAGGCGGCGUUCUGGACUGCAACUGACACUGAUGAACGAAAGCCAGGGAGCAAACG